CGGUAGCGUGGCAGACGGGUGAGUAACACGUGGGUAACCUGCCCGAAGGUGGGGGAUAACCCUCCGAAAGGAGGGCUAAUACCGCAUAACAUCCCGGGGUCCUCGGGCCCUGGGAUCAAAGCUGGCCUCUGGUUUCAUGCUAGUGCCUUCGGAGGGGCCCGCGCCCCAUUAGCUAGUUGGUGAGGUAACGGCUCACCAAGGCGACGAUGGGUAGCCGGCCUGAGAGGGUGAACGGCCACACUGGAACUGAGAAAGGUCCAGUCCCCUACGGGGGCCAGCAGUCUAGAAAUUUGCGCAAUGGACGAAAGUCUGACGCAGCGACGCCACGUGGAGGAUGAAGCCUUUAGGGGUGUAAACUCCUGUCAGAAGGGAAGAAAGCAGUGAAUAACUUUCACUGUCUGACGGUACCUUCAGAGGAAGCCCCGGCUAACUUCGUGCCAGCAGCCGCGGU
Molecule: ribosomal RNA, 451 nt
Filed under: uncultured bacterium
Lineage: Bacteria
Description: bacterial SSU rRNA
Rfam family: Bacterial small subunit ribosomal RNA
Source: RNAcentral